Molecule: long non-coding RNA, 481 nt
Organism: Parasteatoda tepidariorum (common house spider)
Lineage: Eukaryota; Metazoa; Arthropoda; Arachnida; Araneae; Theridiidae
Source: RefSeq, a predicted model, not a curated record
AAGCUUAUCAGGUGCAAUGAAAACAUUUUUUCCUAAUAAAUGAGAUAUAAAUAACGGAUGAUUCGAUUCCAUUUAUUUAUUCUCGUAAUACAUUCAAUCAAGUGAAUUCCACAGCAAUUGAGAAAAUGAACUCCUUCUCAGUGAUGAUAUUGAUCAUGUUUUUCCUUCAAUGUUAUGCCGAAAGAGAAAUGAUACCCCUAGAUGAUGAGGACUGCAGAUCCGAUGGUUGCCGGUUCAAAUCCCCCGCAGCUGACCAACAAGACGUGAUUUUUCAACCACAUAAAAUUGUUACAAGAAGAACAAGGUGUAAUUCCUCAUGUGUUGGAAUUCCAACGACUGAUUAUUGCAGAACCUGUUGGAAAGUUGGUUAAUUCAUGCUCAUGCAUCGGUGUUAAUAUGCAACAGCAUAUAUCUAGUGGCAAUGAUGCUAUUUAUACACAUGGAUAUUUAUGAAUAUAAUAAAAAUGAAUGUUAAAUUAAA